This 544-nucleotide unclassified non-coding RNA is filed under the name Metschnikowia sp. JSKim-2014. RNAcentral's name for it is "partial contains 18S rRNA, ITS1, 5.8S rRNA, and ITS2". The stretch from base 193 to 346 matches the Rfam family "5.8S ribosomal RNA". Lineage: Eukaryota; Fungi; Ascomycota; Pichiomycetes; Serinales; Metschnikowiaceae. The record is from RNAcentral.
GAAGGAUCAUUAAAGAGUAAGGGUGCUCAGCGCCCGACCUCCAACCCUUUGUUGUUAAAACUACCUUGUUGCUUUGGCGGGACCGCUCGGUUCCGAGCCGCUGGGGAUUCGUCCCAGGCGAGUGCCCGCCAGAGUUAAACCAAACUCUUGUUAUUAAACCGGUCGUCUGAGUUAAAAUUUUGAAUAAAUCAAAACUUUCAACAACGGAUCUCUUGGUUCUCGCAUCGAUGAAGAACGCAGCGAAAUGCGAUAAGUAAUGUGAAUUGCAGAAUUCAGUGAAUCAUCGAAUCUUUGAACGCACAUUGCGCCCCUUGGUAUUCCGAGGGGCAUGCCUGUUCGAGCGUCAUUACACCACUCAAGCUUUGCUUGGUAUUGGGCGUCGUCCUUAGUUGGGCGCGCCUUAAAGACCUCGGCGAGGCCACUCCGGCUUUAGGCGUAGUAGAAUUUAUUCGAACGUCUGUCAAAGGAGAGGAACUCUGCCGAUUGAAACCUUUUAUUUUUCUAGGUUGACCUCGGAUCAGGUAGGGAUACCCGCUGAACUUAA